UACGUAGGUCCCGAGCGUUGUCCGGAUUUAUUGGGCGUAAAGCGAGCGCAGGUGGUUUAUUAAGUCUGGUGUAAAAGGCAGUGGCUCAACCAUUGUAUGCAUUGGAAACUGGUAGACUUGAGUGCAGGAGAGGAGAGUGGAAUUCCAUGUGUAGCGGUGAAGUGCGUAGAUAUAUGGAGGAACACCGGUGGCGAAAGCGGCUCUCUGGCCUGUAACUGACACUGAGGCUCGAAAGCGUGGGGAGCAAACAGG
This 252-nucleotide ribosomal RNA is filed under the name uncultured bacterium. Its description in RNAcentral is "partial 16S ribosomal RNA". It matches the Rfam family "Bacterial small subunit ribosomal RNA", at positions 524 to 776 of the family's 1533-position model. The record is from RNAcentral.